Molecule: ribosomal RNA, 253 nt
Filed under: uncultured bacterium
Lineage: Bacteria
Description: partial 16S ribosomal RNA
Rfam family: Bacterial small subunit ribosomal RNA
Source: RNAcentral
UACGGAGGGGGCUAGCGUUGUUCGGAAUUACUGGGCGUAAAGCGCACGUAGGUGGCGACGUAAGUCGGGUGUGAAAGCCCCGGGCUCAACCUGGGAAUUGCAUUCGAGACUGCAUUGCUGGAGUACGGAAGAGGAGGGCGGAAUUCCCGGUGUAGCGGUGAAAUGCGUAGAUAUCGGGAGGAACAUCAGUGGCGAAGGCGGCCCUCUGGUCCAGUACUGACACUCAAGUGCGAAAGCGUGGGGAGCAAACAGG